CCUACGGGUGACAGCAGUGGGGGAUAUUGCACAAUGGGGGAAACCCUGAUGCAGCGAUGCCGCGUGAAUGAAGACGGCCUUCGGGUUGUAAAGUUCUGUCGCAGGGGACGAAAAUGACGGUACCCUGCAAGAAAGCUCCGGCUAACUACGUGCCAGCAGCCGCGGUAAUACGUAGGGAGCAAGCGUUGUCCGGAAUUACUGGGUGUAAAGGGAGCGUAGGCGGGAGGAUAAGUUGAAUGUGAAAUCUAUGGGCUCAACCCAUAGUUGCGUUCAAAACUGUUCUUCUUGAGUGAAGUAGAGGCAGGCGGAAUUCCUAGUGUAGCGGUGAAAUGCAUAGAUAUCGCGCAGAACUCCGAUUGCGAAGGCAGCAUGCCGGCUCCACACUGACGCUGAGGCACGAAAGCGUGGGUAUCGAACAGGAUUAGAUACCCGAGUAGUC
Molecule: ribosomal RNA, 439 nt
Filed under: uncultured bacterium
Lineage: Bacteria
Description: partial 16S ribosomal RNA
Rfam family: Bacterial small subunit ribosomal RNA
Source: RNAcentral